RNAcentral lists this long non-coding RNA (584 nucleotides) under Populus trichocarpa (black cottonwood). RNAcentral's name for it is "long non-coding RNA (PTRI_LNC000087)". The record is from RNAcentral. Lineage: Eukaryota; Viridiplantae; Streptophyta; Magnoliopsida; Malpighiales; Salicaceae.
UUUUUUUUUUUUUUAGAAUGUGCGAGUAAUUUCACUAUAUAAAAAAUAUUGAAAAGACAUAAACAACCCUAAACUAUAAUUUUUUUUUCUGCUUUUAAAGGCAAUAAAAUAACUUCAUUGUUCUUCCGCAUACAUCCAGGAUAGGCGCAGGGAGAAACGAUCCACGAUCCUCAAUGCGGAAAUACAAUUCAUGUACGGCAUAAAAAACCAAGACCAAUUUCAGAAAAGAAAGAAGAAUAAAAACCCAAUAGACAAGCAUCUAAUUAAAUAUGUAAUAUAACAACAGCCACAAGACCACUCACAGAAGAUAAGACACAUGGAAAUGCUGCCCAUAUAUGUAGCGAAACAACUAUACGAGUCCCGUAUUCAUCCAUUUUUGAACCCAGUAACCUAAUUAGAGGGGGUGAAAAAAAGAGAGAGGAGGAUUCUAAGCAAUACUGGGUAAAAGUUUUACUUCACAAAAAAAACACAGCUAGCAAAUUUGUGUCAGAACUUAUCAGCCACGGGAAAACCCUCUAAUCCCUUUUCUUAUCCUUCAAUGGCCCCCUAGGAAUCUUACUUAGAACCUUGGCAUCGAAAACUGC